RNAcentral lists this ribosomal RNA (382 nucleotides) under uncultured eukaryote. RNAcentral describes it as "partial 18S ribosomal RNA". It matches the Rfam family "Eukaryotic small subunit ribosomal RNA", at positions 592 to 976 of the family's 1831-position model. The record is from RNAcentral.
CAAUAGCGUAUAUUAAAGUUGUUGCAGUUAAAAAGCUCGUAGUUGGAUUUCUGGAUGGAGCGACCGGUCGGGCAUUAAUUUGUCUGCACUGGAGUCGGUUCCGUCCAUCCUCUUGGAAAGUGCGUGGGGCAUUAAGUUGUCUGGCGUAUGAUCCAAGUCGUUUACUGUGAAAAAAUUAGAGUGUUUAAAGCAGGCCUUCGCCUUGAAUACAUUAGCAUGGAAUAAUAAGAUAGGACUUUGGUCUAUUUUGUUGGUUUGCAGACCGAAGUAAUGAUUAAUAGGGAUAGUCGGGGGUAUUUAUAUUCCGAUGUCAGAGGUGAAAUUCUUAGAUUCGUUGAGGACCAACCACUGCGAAAGCAUUUGUCAAGGAUGUCUCCAUUAA